RNAcentral lists this long non-coding RNA (316 nucleotides) under Malus domestica (apple). Its description in RNAcentral is "long non-coding RNA (MDOM_LNC004431)". Lineage: Eukaryota; Viridiplantae; Streptophyta; Magnoliopsida; Rosales; Rosaceae. The record is from RNAcentral.
AAGAAAGAGUUUUGGGCUAUCACUUAAAAAGGAAAUGCCUCAUUCUUCAACUCCCUCGACUGGAGACUUGGGAGACUCCUACCAUAUACUACUGCACCUUGAUACUCGGAAGUCUCACGACCACUCAGUGACUUGGAUUUUUCAAGUCUCCAAAUGAGAAGUUUUCCUCACUCGGGAAAUUAAGGGAGCACUACCUCAACCUACAUGCUUCACUCACAAAGCUUCAACAUACAAGCUUCAACAAAAGGAAAAAUUUAAAGAACUUAGUGAAGAAGGCCUUGGUGUAUUUAACACAAUAUGUUGAAAUGAAGCAAAG